GGCUGGUAAGCUAGUGUGUGGUGUUGGUAUUUUUUCUUUUUUUUUCUCCUCUCUACAUUCAGCUUCAUCAGUAAGCAGAGGGAGAGGACCCUGUUGAGCGACAAGUGUCCCGGUUCAGCGAGAGCAGCAGAGAGGGUUCGAUCACCUCGACCCAGAUGGAACAGGACGUGCCCGGCGAGCGUGGGGUUCUCCGAGGCGGUUUUCAAAGUGUGGGUUUUCGCGGAACACUCUGCGCCACACAUCAUCGGCACGUACGAGGCGAUGGCUGGCGAGAACAUCCCCACCAACACGCUUCCUGUUCCCCGACAUCUCUAAAGACGAGGCCGUUGGGAAGUACUAGCCCAAACCCUGUGAAAUUUUUAUUUGUGGCUUUUGACAGAAAAGUUUAAGCGGCUUGCAGCUCCAGAGCGAAUGGAUGUGGACAACGCAGAGCGUACGGGUUACCUGAAGACGGAGCUCAUAUCUGUCUCCAAAGAUGAGUGCAGAAUUUGAGGAGUAAAAGCGAGGACGGCAGAACUUCAUCCACGUUUUAGACAGUACUUUGUUAAAGUAUUUUUGAAGUGUAAAGUAGUUAAAGACUUUGAAUAAGUUGCUAAAGAAAACAGUACUUUGUAAUUUUUGUUUGUGGCUUUUGACACCAAACUGUAAAAGAGUGGCAACCCCAGAGUCAAUGAUGUGGACAACGCAGAGCGUACGGGCGAGAGGAAGACGGCGCUCAUUUCUGUCUCCGAAGGGUAGGUGUCAUUCUUAGAAAAAUUUUGAGAGUAUUUUUUAAAAGUAUUUGUAAAGUAAGCUAAAGACUUAGGAAAAUUUAAAAGCAGAGUAUUUGUAAAGUUGUUAAACACUGAGGAAAAAUUUUUGAGUACUUGUAAAGUAAGUUAAACACUUAGGGA
This is a long non-coding RNA of Scatophagus argus, 893 nucleotides long. RefSeq lists it as uncharacterized. NCBI's taxonomy places the organism in Eukaryota, Metazoa, Chordata, Actinopteri, Scatophagidae. The transcript has 3 exons. The record is from RefSeq and is a predicted model, not a curated record.